GACGAACGCUGGCGGCGUGCCUAACACAUGCAAGUCGAGCGAUGAAAUUAGAAACGGAGUCUUCGGACGAAGAGGAAAAUGGAUUAGCGGCGGACGGGUGAGUAACACGUGAGCAACCUGCCUAUCACAUCGGGAUAGCCUCGGGAAACUGGGAUUAAUACCGAAUGAAACAUAAUCACUGCCUAGUGGAAAUGUCAAAGAUUUAUCGGUGAUAGAUGGGCUCGCGUCUGAUUAGCUAGUUGGUGAGGUAAUGGCUCACCAAGGCGACGAUCAGUAGCCGGCCUGAGAGGGUGAACGGCCACAUUGGGACUGAGACACGGCCCAAACUCCUACGGGAGGCAGCAGUGGGGAAUAUUGCACAAUGGAGGGAACUCUGAUGCAGCGACGCCGCGUGAGCGAUGAAGGCUUUCGAGUCGUAAAGCUCUGUCGAAUGGGAAGAUAAUGACGGUACCAUUUGAGAAAGCCCCGGCUAACUACGUGCCAGCAGCCGCCGUAA
RNAcentral lists this ribosomal RNA (496 nucleotides) under uncultured bacterium. Its description in RNAcentral is "partial 16S ribosomal RNA". It matches the Rfam family "Bacterial small subunit ribosomal RNA", at positions 28 to 523 of the family's 1533-position model. The record is from RNAcentral.